Molecule: non-coding RNA, 71 nt
Filed under: Geobacillus thermodenitrificans
Lineage: Bacteria; Bacillati; Bacillota; Bacilli; Caryophanales; Anoxybacillaceae
Description: partial 16S ribosomal RNA
Rfam family: Bacterial small subunit ribosomal RNA
Source: RNAcentral
CUUUUGGAGAGUUUGAUCCUGGCUCAGGACGAACGCUGGCGGCGUGCCUAAUACAUGCAAGUCGAGCGGAC